Molecule: ribosomal RNA, 390 nt
Filed under: Triticum aestivum (bread wheat)
Lineage: Eukaryota; Viridiplantae; Streptophyta; Magnoliopsida; Poales; Poaceae
Description: partial small subunit ribosomal RNA
Source: RNAcentral
AUGCUGGGUGUUGACAGAAGUGAUUGUUUCCAGCAUCUUGUACAUCAUGUCUACCAACUUCUCAAGGGAUGGAAGGAGAAAAUCUUGUCUAUGCAAGGGAAGGAGAAUUUACUUAAAUCAGUUGCACAUGCUAUUCCUUCCUACGAUAUGUCAGUUUUCAAAUUACCCAAAGGAAUUUGCAAAGCCACUACAGAUGAAAUUUUAGGAUUUUGGUAGGGUGAUAGUGAGAAGAAUAAUAAGAUGCACUGGUUUGUGUCAUGGAAAAUGUGUGCAUCAAAGAGGAAAGGGGGAUUGGGGUUUAGAGACCUGCACAGUUUCAAUCUUUCUAUGUUAGCAAAACAGUGUUGGCGAAUACUCUAGAACCUGAAUUCUUUAUGUGCACGUGUGUGA